AUCGCUUCUCGGCCUUUUGGCUAAGAUCAAGUGUAGUAUCAAGGUCCUUUUUUCUAAAAGGGAAGGAGAACCAUAUAUUGGAAUUCCCAUGGUAUUACUUUUUAAGAGCUACCCCCG
Molecule: small nuclear RNA, 117 nt
Organism: Heterocephalus glaber (naked mole-rat)
Lineage: Eukaryota; Metazoa; Chordata; Mammalia; Rodentia; Bathyergidae
Gene: U2
Rfam family: U2 spliceosomal RNA
About the family: U2 is a small nuclear RNA (snRNA) component of the spliceosome (involved in pre-mRNA splicing).
Source: Ensembl